This 1489-nucleotide ribosomal RNA is filed under the name Salmonella enterica. RNAcentral's name for it is "bacterial SSU rRNA". It matches the Rfam family "Bacterial small subunit ribosomal RNA". Lineage: Bacteria; Pseudomonadati; Pseudomonadota; Gammaproteobacteria; Enterobacterales; Enterobacteriaceae. The record is from RNAcentral. RNAcentral also lists the same sequence under 1 other name.
CAGGCCUAACACAUGCAAGUCGAACGGUAACAGGAAGCAGCUUGCUGCUUUGCUGACGAGUGGCGGACGGGUGAGUAAUGUCUGGGAAACUGCCUGAUGGAGGGGGAUAACUACUGGAAACGGUGGCUAAUACCGCAUAACGUCGCAAGACCAAAGAGGGGGACCUUCGGGCCUCUUGCCAUCAGAUGUGCCCAGAUGGGAUUAGCUUGUUGGUGAGGUAACGGCUCACCAAGGCGACGAUCCCUAGCUGGUCUGAGAGGAUGACCAGCCACACUGGAACUGAGACACGGUCCAGACUCCUACGGGAGGCAGCAGUGGGGAAUAUUGCACAAUGGGCGCAAGCCUGAUGCAGCCAUGCCGCGUGUAUGAAGAAGGCCUUCGGGUUGUAAAGUACUUUCAGCGGGGAGGAAGGUGUUGUGGUUAAUAACCGCAGCAAUUGACGUUACCCGCAGAAGAAGCACCGGCUAACUCCGUGCCAGCAGCCGCGGUAAUACGGAGGGUGCAAGCGUUAAUCGGAAUUACUGGGCGUAAAGCGCACGCAGGCGGUCUGUCAAGUCGGAUGUGAAAUCCCCGGGCUCAACCUGGGAACUGCAUUCGAAACUGGCAGGCUUGAGUCUUGUAGAGGGGGGUAGAAUUCCAGGUGUAGCGGUGAAAUGCGUAGAGAUCUGGAGGAAUACCGGUGGCGAAGGCGGCCCCCUGGACAAAGACUGACGCUCAGGUGCGAAAGCGUGGGGAGCAAACAGGAUUAGAUACCCUGGUAGUCCACGCCGUAAACGAUGUCUACUUGGAGGUUGUGCCCUUGAGGCGUGGCUUCCGGAGCUAACGCGUUAAGUAGACCGCCUGGGGAGUACGGCCGCAAGGUUAAAACUCAAAUGAAUUGACGGGGGCCCGCACAAGCGGUGGAGCAUGUGGUUUAAUUCGAUGCAACGCGAAGAACCUUACCUGGUCUUGACAUCCACAGAAGAAUCCAGAGAUGGAUUUGUGCCUUCGGGAACUGUGAGACAGGUGCUGCAUGGCUGUCGUCAGCUCGUGUUGUGAAAUGUUGGGUUAAGUCCCGCAACGAGCGCAACCCUUAUCCUUUGUUGCCAGCGGUUAGGCCGGGAACUCAAAGGAGACUGCCAGUGAUAAACUGGAGGAAGGUGGGGAUGACGUCAAGUCAUCAUGGCCCUUACGACCAGGGCUACACACGUGCUACAAUGGCGCAUACAAAGAGAAGCGACCUCGCGAGAGCAAGCGGACCUCAUAAAGUGCGUCGUAGUCCGGAUUGGAGUCUGCAACUCGACUCCAUGAAGUCGGAAUCGCUAGUAAUCGUGGAUCAGAAUGCCACGGUGAAUACGUUCCCGGGCCUUGUACACACCGCCCGUCACACCAUGGGAGUGGGUUGCAAAAGAAGUAGGUAGCUUAACCUUCGGGAGGGCGCUUACCACUUUGUGAUUCAUGACUGGGGUGAAGUCGUAACAAGGUAACCGUAGGGGAACCUGCGGUUGGA